UUGUACACACCGCCCGUCACACCAUGGGAGUGGAUGGUACCAGAAGCCGUUAGCCUAACCUUCGGGGGGGCGACGACCACGGUAUGGUUCAUGACUGGGGUGAAGUCGUAACAAGGUAGCCGUAGGGGAACCUGCGGCUGGAUCACCUCCUUUAAAGAGAACGGGUACUAGACCCCACACACGCCACUCGGUAGCGACUUGGGCCCAUAGCUCAGCUGGCUAGAGCACACGACUGAUAAUCGUGAGGUCAGUGGUUCGAGUCCACUUGGGCCCACCACAUGGGGCUGUAGCUCAGUUGGGAGAGCACCGGCUUUGCAAGCCGGGGGUCACCGGUUCGAGACCGGUCAGCUCCACCAGACGGUGGGGUGGGGGAGCCGCGGCGGGUCCGUGGUGUGGGCAGUGGGCAGUGCAGAGCCUUGGGUUGUGCACUGUACAUUGGAAGAUGUGCGGUAUGUUCUUUGACAAGUGAGGAAGGGAAGGCCAGAUGACCGGUCCUGGGACGGGUCAUCUCCCCCGAGGGUAUUGGGGGAUAUAUGGUCAAGUGAAUAAGGGCAUACGGUGGAUGCCUUGGCGGAAACAGGCGAUGAAGGACGUGGGUACCUGCGAAAAGCCUCGGGGAGCUGGUAAACGAGCGGUGAUCCGGGGAUGUCCGAAUGGGGAAACCCAACCCGAGGGAUCGGGUUAUUGCCACUGGAAUACAUAAGGUGGCAAGGCGAACGCGGUGAACUGAAACAUCUCAGUAGCUGCAGGAACAGAAAUCAACCGAGAUUCCCCCAGUAGCGGCGAGCGAACGGGGAGGAGCCAUCACGAUGUAGCCACGGACUUAGGAGAACGCUCUGGGAAGGGCGGCCGUAGUGGGUGAGAGCCCCGUAUCCGAAAAGUUGGUGGUGGAACUAGGCGUGAGAUAAGUAGGGCGGGACACGUGGAAUCCUGUCUGAAGAUGGGGGGACCAUCCUCCAAGGCUAAAUACUCGUUUCCGACCGAUAGUGAACCAGUACCGUGAGGGAAAGGA
This 1012-nucleotide small RNA is filed under the name Acidithiobacillus caldus. RNAcentral's name for it is "bacterial LSU rRNA". The stretch from base 536 to 1012 matches the Rfam family "Bacterial large subunit ribosomal RNA", at positions 1 to 515 of the family's 2925-position model. Lineage: Bacteria; Pseudomonadati; Pseudomonadota; Acidithiobacillia; Acidithiobacillales; Acidithiobacillaceae. The record is from RNAcentral.